RNA transcript from Homo sapiens (human), 9765 nucleotides. It is a transcript of the gene named histone deacetylase 2, with no coding region annotated. The record is from RefSeq and is marked reviewed. NCBI's taxonomy places the organism in Eukaryota, Metazoa, Chordata, Mammalia, Primates, Hominidae. The transcript is spliced from 15 exons.
CCCCUCCUCGCGAGUUGGUGCCGCUGCCACCUCCGAUUCCGAGCUUUCGGCACCUCUGCCGGGUGGUACCGAGCCUUCCCGGCGCCCCCUCCUCUCCUCCCACCGGCCUGCCCUUCCCCGCGGGACUAUCGCCCCCACGUUUCCCUCAGCCCUUUUCUCUCCCGGCCGAGCCGCGGCGGCAGCAGCAGCAGCAGCAGCAGCAGGAGGAGGAGCCCGGUGGCGGCGGUGGCCGGGGAGCCCAUGGCGUACAGUCAAGGAGGCGGCAAAAAAAAAGUCUGCUACUACUACGACGCCUUCACCCUGCCAUUUCUAGUGAAUCUGUGAUAUUGGAAAUUAUUAUUAUGGACAGGGUCAUCCCAUGAAGCCUCAUAGAAUCCGCAUGACCCAUAACUUGCUGUUAAAUUAUGGCUUAUACAGAAAAAUGGAAAUAUAUAGGCCCCAUAAAGCCACUGCCGAAGAAAUGACAAAAUAUCACAGUGAUGAGUAUAUCAAAUUUCUACGGUCAAUAAGACCAGAUAACAUGUCUGAGUAUAGUAAGCAGAUGCAGAGAUUUAAUGUUGGAGAAGAUUGUCCAGUGUUUGAUGGACUCUUUGAGUUUUGUCAGCUCUCAACUGGCGGUUCAGUUGCUGGAGCUGUGAAGUUAAACCGACAACAGACUGAUAUGGCUGUUAAUUGGGCUGGAGGAUUACAUCAUGCUAAGAAAUCAGAAGCAUCAGGAUUCUGUUACGUUAAUGAUAUUGUGCUUGCCAUCCUUGAAUUACUAAAGUAUCAUCAGAGAGUCUUAUAUAUUGAUAUAGAUAUUCAUCAUGGUGAUGGUGUUGAAGAAGCUUUUUAUACAACAGAUCGUGUAAUGACGGUAUCAUUCCAUAAAUAUGGGGAAUACUUUCCUGGCACAGGAGACUUGAGGGAUAUUGGUGCUGGAAAAGGCAAAUACUAUGCUGUCAAUUUUCCAAUGAGAGAUGGUAUAGAUGAUGAGUCAUAUGGGCAGAUAUUUAAGCCUAUUAUCUCAAAGGUGAUGGAGAUGUAUCAACCUAGUGCUGUGGUAUUACAGUGUGGUGCAGACUCAUUAUCUGGUGAUAGACUGGGUUGUUUCAAUCUAACAGUCAAAGGUCAUGCUAAAUGUGUAGAAGUUGUAAAAACUUUUAACUUACCAUUACUGAUGCUUGGAGGAGGUGGCUACACAAUCCGUAAUGUUGCUCGAUGUUGGACAUAUGAGACUGCAGUUGCCCUUGAUUGUGAGAUUCCCAAUGAGUUGCCAUAUAAUGAUUACUUUGAGUAUUUUGGACCAGACUUCAAACUGCAUAUUAGUCCUUCAAACAUGACAAACCAGAACACUCCAGAAUAUAUGGAAAAGAUAAAACAGCGUUUGUUUGAAAAUUUGCGCAUGUUACCUCAUGCACCUGGUGUCCAGAUGCAAGCUAUUCCAGAAGAUGCUGUUCAUGAAGACAGUGGAGAUGAAGAUGGAGAAGAUCCAGACAAGAGAAUUUCUAUUCGAGCAUCAGACAAGCGGAUAGCUUGUGAUGAAGAAUUCUCAGAUUCUGAGGAUGAAGGAGAAGGAGGUCGAAGAAAUGUGGCUGAUCAUAAGAAAGGAGCAAAGAAAGCUAGAAUUGAAGAAGAUAAGAAAGAAACAGAGGACAAAAAAACAGACGUUAAGGAAGAAGAUAAAUCCAAGGACAACAGUGGUGAAAAAACAGAUACCAAAGGAACCAAAUCAGAACAGCUCAGCAACCCCUGAAUUUGACAGUCUCACCAAUUUCAGAAAAUCAUUAAAAAGAAAAUAUUGAAAGGAAAAUGUUUUCUUUUUGAAGACUUCUGGCUUCAUUUUAUACUACUUUGGCAUGGACUGUAUUUAUUUUCAAAUGGCUUUUUCGUUUUUGUUUUUCUUGGCAAGUUUUAUUGUGAGUUUUUCUAAUUAUGAAGCAAAAUUUCUUUUCUCCACCAUGCUUUAUGUGAUAGUAUUUAAAAUUGAUGUGAGUUAUUAUGUCAAAAAAACUGAUCUAUUAAAGAAGUAAUUGGCCUUUCUGAGCUGAUUUUUCCAUCUUUUGUAAUUAUCUUUAUUAAAAAAUUGUACUUGGAUUAUCUUUUGUCUGUUUAUUACUACAAUAUGAAGUCUUGUUUCAGUGGCUAAUGACAUCAUUUCUGUAGACUUACAAUACACUCUAGGUGAAAGAUAAUGAUUACAGCUUGAAAGAUAACUAUUUGCUGUUUCUUUGGGAAGAGUAUUUAUAGUAAUUAUUACUUAUCUUUGCAAUAGAAAUUCUACCACCUUGCCCUCUAUAGCUUAGCCAGUUAGUAUCAGUGAAGAUUAACAUCCCAUUACAAUUUAUGAAAUAAUACAGACUCUGCAAUUGAGAUGUAGGAGUUCUUUGAGUUGACCCAAAGAUUCUCAAAAUUGAAAUGGAAAUUCUGAAUUGAAAGAAGAAACUGACCAGAACUUGUAUUGACCAGACUUGCCUAUAGUAUAUUGCUGGUUUAAAAUGGAACCUGCAGACAAAACCUGUUUCUUUUACUGCAUUUACAUGGCAUCCAGGUUCCAUUAUUAUUUACGUGACAUCCAGGUUUCUAACUCAAGGAAAUAAACACAACUGAUUUAUCAUUCAGCAACUACUUAUUGUGUGUCUGCCCAUUUUAAGACUGUAGGAGUGUAACUGAAUAUAAUGGAAAAAUGCUUUCACUCAGAGCUUACACUCAGAGCUUACAUUCUAGUAGCAGGAAGCAGACAAAUGGGGGUAACUCCUGCUACUAAGAUGUGCAAAGAAGACAAAACAUUUUAGGAACUUGCCAAAAUCAGUGAAAUCUCCCUUUUUGUCAGGCCCACAUUGAUUCUUUUGAGAUUAAAAAUUACAGAAUGCCAGAAGAUAAUUCAGUCAAAAGUAUUUCUCUUCAGUGCAGUAAAAUAUUAAAAGAAAAAAUAUUUCUCUACAAGCCUCUUAAAUGUUUCAGACAUUCACAAUAGCACCUAGACUUUUGUAAUGAACAGCUGUGCACCCACCCCGACUUAACAAAUAUUUUACUUUUGCUAUAUUUGCUUCGGUGUUUUUUUCUUAAAAUACACCGAAAUUGAAGCUCUCUUUGUGUACUUUGUCGUUUGUAAUCCUCCCUCCCUCCCAGCCUUAAGAAGUAAUCACCAUUGUGAUUAUUUUAUCCAUGUUUUUGUGAAUAUUUUACCCAUGUUUUUGUACUUUUGCUACAUAUUUGUUAUCAAUCUGUAAACCUUUAUGACAUUAGGAACUAAGAAACUUAGUCCCUUCGUUAGGGGGAUAAUGAAAUGUAUUUAGUGUUUGUGAAACAUAGAUGGUAUGUAUUUGGACAAUUCUGUAACUUUGCUUUUUUUAUUUUUAUUUUUCCAUAGCUUAUUGGGGAACAGGUGGUGUUUGGUUACAUGAUUAAGUUCUUUAGUGGUGAUUUGUGGGAUUUUGGUGGACCCAUCACCCAAGCAGUGUACACUGCACCCUAUUUGUAAUCUUUUAUCCCUCGCCCCCCUCCCACCAUGCCUCCCGUCUACCAUGAUGAUCCUGUUUUAAAUAAGAAAAUACCAUUUCGCAGGCUCCAGAUGUUCUGGCAUCCUCCCUGUGGAUUUCCCAGUGCCUGCAGCUCACAGGACAACAGGGGCUGUGGUAGAGUCACCUAUGAGAUCCUGGAGUAGUGGAUGGAGGAGAUGGAACAGUGAAGACGGAAACUGAGCUCAGUAUCCGGGUGCCAGGAGACAAAGGCCCUUUGCUUUUUUUCAUUUAAUAUUCUGAUCUACCCCUGUUGACACAUGUUAAGUAUAGUUCAUUUUGACUGCUAUGUAUUAUGUUCCAUUGUGUGAACAUACUGAAAUUGUACACUUCAAUACUAUACUGGAUCUCCUUGGGUGUAUUUAAGAGGUUUUGUUUUUCUAAGUAGUUGGUUAUAUACAACUAAAACCUCAAGAGAACUAUCUAAAGCAAUUUCAGCAAGGUGAUUUGGUACAGCAUUAAUAAACAGAAAUCAGUAACACUUAGUGACCAAGUCUGUUGGAAGAACAAAGACCCCCAUUUGUAAUAACAAAAUUUUUAGAAAUAAUAUGUAAAGAAGCUAUGGUUCUUGUGUCUAGUAAGGUCAAUGUAACAUAGUAAGAUGUCAGAAUACCCUAAUACUUUAAAAAAUUCAUAUAGGAUAAAAAUGAUAUUUGAAAUUGGCAAGGAAAGACAUUAUUUUGUAAGUGGAAUUGGGACAACAACUGGUAACCAAAUGGAAAACCCAGUUUUCUGCCCUCCACUAGAAGAUUUAAAUAGGAAAAGAUAAAACUACCAAAAACCUAAACUCUUAAAGCAAAUGGAUUGAAGAAGGCCUAAGUGUGACACCAAACUCAACUAUAAAAGAUAUAUUUGAUAACAAAAAAAAAAUUAGUUCAGUGGACCAACAAAAACUUAGAAGACAAGUCAAGAAAAAUGACAAAAGACAGAGUGGGAGGCAGAUUUGUAACUCAUCCAGGUCAAAAGGCUCAUAUCUAAAGAUAGUAGAGGAACAAAAUGUAUAAGGAUGUGAACUGGGAAACAAAUACAUAUAAAUAGUUUGUAAAUAUGAAAAGAUCUUUAACCUCAGUAAAUAAAAAGCUAUAGAGAGACUUAUUUUUUAACUUAGUUUUUUAAACCUAUUAUGUUUAUUUAUUUUUUCUUUUUUUGAGACGGAGUCUCGCUGUUGCCCAGGCUGGUGUGCAAUGGCGCAAUCUCGGCUCACUGCAACCUCCGCCUCCCAGGUUGAAGCCAUUCUCCUGCCUCAGCCUCCUGAGUAGCUGGGAUUACAGGCGCCUGUCACCACGCCCAGCUAAUUGUUCGCAUUUUUAGUAGAGACGGGGUUUCACUAUGUUGGCCAGGCUGGCCUCGAACUCCUGACCUCAUGAUCCACCCACCUUGGCCUUCCAAAGUGCUGGGAUUACAGGUGUGAGCUGCCGCACCUGGCUGUUUAUCUCUUUUUUUUAGAGAAAGGAUCUCGGUCACCCAGGAUGGAGUGUGGUAGCCUGAUCAUAUCUCACUACAUCUUAGAACUUCUAGGCUUAGGGUAUUCUCCCACCUCAGCCUCCCAAGUAGCUGGGACUACAAGUGUGCACCAUCACACCUAGCUGAUUUUUACAUUUUUAUUUUGGAGAGAUGGUGUCUCCCUGUGUUGCCCAGGCUGGUCACAAACUCCUAGGCUCAAGCGAUUCUCCUGACUCAGGCAUGAGCCACCGUACCCGGCCUAAACCUAUCAUGUUACAGACUUAGAAAGCAACUAUUGUCAAGUGUUUGAGGAAACUCAGGUCAGGUUUGGUAAACUAAGAUAUUAACUCAAGUAAAGCUCUUUAAUUCAUUUAAUGAAGGUGCCACAUUGUCUCAGUUCUCUAUGGCAUGGGUGAAUGCUGUUCUAAGUCAGCAUUGGUACUCUAAGCUAGUUACAUCAUAUCUAAGCUUUGCCCUUCUACCAGAGCUGCUAGCAUUCUGUCAAUGGGCAAUUAUUUGAAGUUCUUACAUUGAAGUUAGUCACCUACAUCUUCUGUUUUUUAUGGUUUUGAUGUAGUAAUACUGCUGAAGUUUUUUUGAUAACUGCGAUUCAUAAUAUUUGUUAUUCAUAUUGUGAUAUAAAUGAUAAGGGCUUUUGAAAACAAGUAGUAAUCAUUUCAAUAGCUUAGGAUCUCCACCAUAAUCUUAGGAAAAUUACUAACCUCUGUGCCUCAGUUGCUUCAUCAUUUAAAAUGAGGAAAAUAAUAGUCCCUACUUAAUAGGUUUGUUGUGAGGAUUGAGUUAAUAACAUAGUUAAUGCUCAGUAAGGGUUAGCUGCUAUUUUUUUUUCUUUUUUUUUUGAAAGAGUCUCACUCUGUUGCCCAGGUUGGAGUGCAGUGGCAUGAUCUUGGCUCACUGCAUCCUCUGCUUCCUAGGUUCAGGUGAUUCUCAUGCUUCAGCCUCCCAAGCAGCUGGGAGUACAGGUGUGCACCACCACACCUGGCUAAUUUUUGUAUAUUUAGUAGAGACGGGUUCUCACCAUAUUGUCCAGGCUGGUCUUGAACUCCUUACCUCAAAUGAUCCACCCGCCUGGGCCUCCCAAAGUGCUGGGAUUACAAGCAUGAGCCACCGCGCCUGGCUUGCUAUUGUUAUGAGGUAAAGGUAGAUAGAUGGGUGAGAGUGGUGCCAGGGGAAGUGUUAAAUUUUUGAGUGUUCCUUUAGAUGCCAGAUGGGUUGUAUCUGAGCCUUUUAUUGCAGUUUGAUGCCUACUAGUGUGAAGACUACUAGGUCAUAGUGGAUAGAGAAGCAAUCUUUUGGAGACCUGAUUUUAGCAAGGAUACGAAUAAUAUUUGACAACUUUGGGGGGAUCUUGAUGCCUCUGUAAUUUACUCAAGGAUAAUCUCAAGAAAAAUGGCAUUAAGUAGAUUACAGAAAAAAUAGAACUAUCAUAUUGUUAUUAUUGGCUAUUUACAUGAGCAAUGCGGAGAAAUGUUUAGGAUUACAGCAUUUAGAAGCUUCUCAAUUGCUGCAUUUCCUCACUGUACCACAAGAUGGCAGAUACUGCAUUUAAAAUUUUUUUUUCUGUGUGUUUUCUCUUAUAGUCACUUGGUGGCCAUGUAACAAGCAGAGCAACAUGUAUUAACAGAUUCUUUUUGAAUGCAAUAUUGGAUUAAAAACUUUGAAUUAAACUACAAUUAAGUUUACUGAUUUAGGUUUUCCUAUAAGAAUUAUAACACUAAUUUCUAAGUUUUACAUCUGCAAAACACAGUAGAGUGUAUCUGGUAGUCAUUGACUAAUUGUGACUUUGCUAGUCAGACAAAAUGGAACUGAAUAUUAGAGCCAGAAUAAUUUUCUGUUUUGACUGGUGGUAAGAAUCAGUUAGUAUACAGAAUGGGAAAGAAUUGAAAUUUAUUUCUAGGAAUUAUAGUUAUAGUGAAGUUAAUAUUCAGGGGCAUUGGGUGCUUGUUCCACGACUUUUGUUUACUGAACUAAGUACCUAACCCCUUUGGUCUUUGAACACUGCAGAGUUAUGAUUAGGAUUAUUAAUGAAAAAUUCUUUUUUAGUAGAACAAACAGUUAAGGACAGAAGACACCUUGAUUAGAUUCUGUUAUUUGCUCUUUUUAUUAAGAUUGUUUUUACUCUAAAUGUUAAAGAAAUGUAUAAUUAUUUCUAAGGUAAAAUGAGUAGCAGGAUUCUGAAUAGGAGAUUUUUUUUGGCCAGACCCAUUUUGCAGCCAGUGGUUUGUAUUUAGGAGUGAGUUGAACAAAGAAGACUCUAAUCUGUUUUUGUGUUGUGGAUUUUUUAUUCUAUUGAUAAAUCAGUAGCUUCCAGCUUCUCUUGUAUCCUCUACUAGUCAUCUUUUUUGUUUCUUCAGAAAUAAACAUCCAGGGUCACUUCCCUGCCCUUGCCAUAUACUUACUAGGAUGAUGUACAGGUAAAACUUUUAAAGGAAAGUACGGACAGGCAAUUCCUAAAGUAAAAGAGAGCACAUUAUCAAAACUGGCUGUACUUAACAAAUACCAACAAAAAGUCAUUACACUUCUGGCAACAAAUAAUGUUUGAUUUAAAAAGACAAGAAUUUCCCCUUUUGCUCUUAUUUUUUAAAUAUGCUAUGUCCUUAAGUGAGAAAUGCACUUCAAAAAUUUUCUUAUUCUGAAGUCUAGCCGGAAAGUUUGAACUUGUGUUGCCUUUGGCUAGACUAGGUGAAAUUAAGGGGCUUAAGAGGGCACUGUUGUGUGGCCCUGUGGUAGAUAAUAGCCCUCCAAGCAUGAGGAUGGGAGAUCUACCAUUCACCAGUAUUUCCAAAGUUAUAUUCUUAAAAAGGCUAGAUUUCUAAUUUCCGUAGAAUCUAGGUAUGUUCUUUUCAACUCAGCAUCUGAUAAGAAAGUUUGGGCAAGUAGGUGCGAAAAAUUUACUCUAGAUACCAUUUUCCAGGAAAAAAUAUAAUUCAAGUCCAACGUAUUACUAGCUGUCACCUUCCCCAACAAUCAAAUAAGCAUUGUUAUUGUCAAACACAUUUACUUGUAUAGUUCAGUGUUAUAUGUAAUGGACUUAGGUAUAAUUCCUGUGCUAUUCCCUUUUGAUGCCAAACACCCUUUUGUAAGCUGUUUUGUUUGAAAUCCAAAUUUAUAUGUCUUAAAGUAAAUGGCAGCAUUGGGCUUUCUUAAUGUAAUGACUCUUCUGCCAUCCUAUUUCUAGAGUUAGGCAGAAAAUUCUGUAAAUCUAUCUUAUUUCCAGUCUGUUUGUGACUAUGGUGGGCAAUAAAUCUGAUUUCCCAGAAAAACACAUCUGGACCCCUAUAGGUAAGGUAAACAAGCCUCAUCUUAAAUUGUUUGUACUUCCGACCUGACCUCAAAACACCAUCAUCAUCUAGAGCAGCAACAAGUAAAGAACAAUGCACUGGAAAUCACAUAUAUGGGUCUAGCACCAGCCUUUACAUUACACAACUUUGCUUUGGGCAAGUCAUUUAAAUUUCUGUGCUUCAGUUUACUAAAUCUAUGAAACUGACUAGGUAACAGCUGACAUGCUUUUCCAGCACUCCGUCUUUUACCUGUCUGAUGUCACAAAUUGAUCAUUCCUUUCUGGCCUUGAGAUGCGUAUCAACCCAGAUAGUCAUUAACCCAGAUAGUUGGCAUUCAGGAUAAAAUGUUUUUGCCUUUCCUGUCCUGCAAGCUCUUUAAAGUCCAAAAUAUGCCUUUAUAUCUUUAUGUGUAAUAGGUAUGAAAUCUAUUUCUUGGUUGUUGAAUAGGAUAGGCUUAUUAGACAUUCUAAAGUCAACUUUUUUCUCAUAUUUAAACAUUUACCCGUAGAAAUUCAGUUUUUUAAAGUUUUAAGUCAGUUGAUUGUACCAAACAUUACUAUUAAAAAAAAAUCAAAGUCAGAGACCAGAGUUUCCCUGCAUCAGCGUUCAGUCAGGAGACAGGAACUAUACUAAUUUGAACAUGUAAAGUUAAAUAUAAUCCUUAAUAAUAACAGGAUUGGAAUAAGGGAUAAAAGAAAGAGAAUUCCUUCUAUAUAUAUGUAUACACACACAUAUAUAUAUAUACAUGUGUAUAUAUGUGUGUGUAUGUAUAUUAUAUAAUAUACAUACACACACACAAAGAAUGUCAGACAAGGAGCAGCCACCAUUCUGCUUACUUUCACUGGAUUAAGAGUUUCAUAAGGGCAAGGGUUUUGUUUGUCUUACACUCCACUGGGGAUUAAUCUCCAGUGUCUAGAACAGUGCCUAACACAUAAAUAAAGCCUCAAUUAUUAUUUGUGGAAUGGAAUGGAAUUUGAGUGAAAUGGAAUGGGAAUAGAAUGGACUGGAAUGGAAAUAGAAGUGGGAAGGGGAAUGGAAGGGGAUAGAAGAGGAUUGAAGAGGACAGAAGGAGAUGGGAUAAGAUGGGAUGGGAUAGGAUCGAAUCUCAGGUCCAGGAGUCAGAAUAACUGAAUCCUAUUCCAGUUCUGCCAUCAACAAGUCCUGUGAAAUUUGGAAAGUCACUUAACCCUCUGGCCUUGUAGAAUAUCUCAGUGGGCAUGUCUGAUGUUUCUUCAUGGUUAGAUAUAGGUUGCAUGUUUUGGGCAAGAAUAUCACAGGAAUGAUGCUGUGUUCUCAGUGCACCCAGUCAGGUAAUGCAUGAUUUCAAUUUCUCUCAUUACUGAUGAUGUUAACUUUAAUCACUUAGUGAAUGAGAACAUGAGCAUCAUUUUGAAAGCAAACUGCAAAGUUUUGAUGUCAACAUUUUAGCAAUUACGUAUAAUUUCCCCCAAGGAUACUGGCUUUGAGAUAAUGUAAAUAUACAUGGGAAAGACAAAGCUCAAAUAAAGGAAAAAGACCCA